This is a long non-coding RNA of Solea senegalensis (Senegalese sole), 464 nucleotides long. RefSeq lists it as uncharacterized. Lineage: Eukaryota; Metazoa; Chordata; Actinopteri; Pleuronectiformes; Soleidae. The transcript is spliced from 3 exons. The record is from RefSeq and is a predicted model, not a curated record.
CAAUACAUGUAUGUAUAUGCAGGGGGAAGGCGCUUCUGCAGCUGCAGAAUUCACUUCUGCAGAUGAGGAGACUGUGUCACUGGACUCCAGAAGGCUUGAGAUAUGUCAAUGUUAUGAAAAUAUCCUGCUUAUUUAGUCCAUAACGGAUAUGAAGUGAGUGAUGUGGUGCUUAUUGAAAACAUGUGUAACAGGACCCAGAUGCUGCACUGUCUCCUCAGCAGCCUGGUAACAUUACGUCACAGACUGUCAAAAAACUAUAUGUAAAGCACCUGGAGAGACAGAUAGAGCUGGCAGAUGUUAAAAGUACAAUCAAGAAGAGAAAGCUCUAAGAAAUGGAGCUGGAUCUUGAGAUUAAAUGCCGGACACUCAGGAAACCGGACCUGGAAAUCCAGAAACUAGAAAGAGAAGAUCCAAGCAACCAAGACAAAUGACGACCGCCAAAUAAAAGAAAAUCACCUAGAAAA